AAUCAACGCUGGCGGCGUGCCUAACACAUGCAAGUCGCACGAGAAAGGGGAGCAAUCCCUGAGUAAAGUGGCGCACGGGUGAGUAACACGUGAAUCAUCUACCUCCGAGUGGGGAAUAACUGAGAGAAAUCUUAGCUAAUACCGCAUAACACUUACGAGUCAAAGCAGCAAUGCGCUUGGAGAGGAGUUCGCGGCCGAUUAGUUAGUUGGCGGGGUAANGGCCCACCAAGACGAUGAUCGGUAUCCGGCCUGAGAGGGCGCACGGACACACUGGAACUGAAACACGGUCCAGACUCCUACGGGAGGCAGCAGUGGGGAAUUUUGUCGCAAUGGGGGAAACCCGUGACGCAGCAACGCCGCGUGGAGGAUGAAGUAUCUUGGUACGUAAACUC
RNAcentral lists this ribosomal RNA (392 nucleotides) under uncultured bacterium. RNAcentral describes it as "bacterial SSU rRNA". It matches the Rfam family "Bacterial small subunit ribosomal RNA", at positions 32 to 432 of the family's 1533-position model. The record is from RNAcentral.